AGCGCGGGCUAGAGGAGCCCAACGCCACCACAAAGAGACGUCCGGGAGAAGCCUAGAGCGGACACGAGUCUGGCGGCCUCCGGGGACGGAAGGGGCGGGGCGGCGUGGCGUGGCGUGAAGUGGCAAAUGAUUCAUGGCGAGGCAAGAGUUGCUUCAGAUGCUGUCUUUUGCAGUCCUCCGAGAGGUUAGGGAUUUGGGAGGUCCCUGGGGGCCAUCUCUUACAAGACACAGUUUCCACUAAAUUGGAUCGUAUUUGUACAUCUCUACACCUGUGCGUGAUAGUAAACUUUUGCACCCAAAUACCCCGAUCCCUGAAGGAGAGUGUGUGAGUUAAAAGGAUCUGAAGAACGGACCCUUUGUUUAAGCCUUCUCCGCUGGUGGUAUACUUACGAGGACCAGAGGUGAGGUGUCAGCAAGGCGGCCCACAUGUGGAAAGCGCUUUGGGCCAAUGGUACAUACCUGCUUUAUUGGAUAGAAGCAGAGAAGUAUGCCUGGUCACAGCCAGAGCUUACUAGGUCAAGAAAUUAUGAGCUCCCCAGAAGUCUCUUGUAUGCUGUCUCCUAGUUGUGAGCACCUUUUACCAAAGUUGGUUUGAACUGGCUUGCUUGCUUCUGCAGCCAUGAGAAUCCUAGCUGGUAUGAAGAGUUACCAAGGCAGAGGAAGGGUGAAGGACAUUUCAUGGACUGCAUGAGCAAAGCCACAGAGACAUAAAAAAGCAUGGCAUGUAUAGAGAAAUAUAAAUAGUUUAGUUUUUUUUGAAACAAAAUGAGAGAGAAAGAGUGCUAAGAGCUUUGGUGAGAGAUAUGUCAUUUUAAAGAGUUUAACUCUACCCUGAAGGCAGUGAAGAGCCUUACACUGGUUUAGACAGUGAGUGACAUGGUCAGAUAUGUAGUUUAGAUAGAUCACUCUGGCAGGAGUUUCUUCAAUAGUUCUCUCUUAUCUCUGGGCUUAUCCUAUGUUCCCUCACCCAGAAACCUGGAGGAAGAAGACAGGACAUAGAAAAUGUAUUCUUUUCACUAGCCAGAGCAAAGCCCAGAGUCAUGACUUUUUAUUAUUUGCAUUUUAAUUGCUAUUUAACAGUCUGUCUUCUCUUGCAUUCUGAAAGUCCCACUGGAGCACAGGCCAUGUCUAGUUUGUUACCAUUGAAUUCCCAAUACCUAUCUUAGUACCCAGAACACAUGGCGAUUCAAUAAAAAGUUGUUAAGUGAAUAAAGGACUGAAUGAGUAAAUAAAUAGUGAUAAGGUGGAGCAGAUAAAUUCAAGAUAUAUUUUGCAAUAGUCAGGACUUGAUGAGUUUUGUAAAAUAUCCUCCUUUACUGAACACCUAUGUGCUCUGCAGGGGACGGAGUGCUUUGCAUGCAUUAUCUUAUUUAAAUUUCACAACAAUCACCUGCGUAAUAUGUACCACAGCUCUUCCUGUUUUUCAUAUGGGGGAAAAAGAAGAUUAAAGAGACCAAAUGCUAGUUUGAACCAUAUGAAAUUGCCACCUAAUAACUUGCCCAAUAUAGGUAAUGAGUCAGUAAGUACUCUGCAAACUGAAUGUGUGUUUCCUCACCAAAUUUAUGUUGAAACCUAAUCCCCAAUGUGAUGGUAUUAGGAAAUGGGACCUUUGGGAGGUAAUUAGGUCACAGAUAUAGAGUCCUGAUGAAUGGAACUAAUGCCCUUAUAAGGGGCUGAAGAGGUCAGAGUUCCUCCUUCCACCAUGUGAGAAUACACACCAAAUCUGCCAGCUCCUUGAUCUUAAACUUUCUAGUCUCAAGAACUGUGAGAUAUAAAUAUCUUUUGUUUAUAAGACAUCAGUUUAUGGUACUUUAUUAUAGUAGCCUAAAUCGACUAAGACAAAGUGGUACUGAAACAGUUGAAUAUCCAGAUGCAAAAAAGUAAACAAUGAUUUUUAAGUCAUACCAUAUACAAAAAUUAAUACAAAAUAGAUCACAUAUCCAAAUAUAUCUAAACUAUAAAAAAAGGUCUAGAAGCAAGUAUAUGAGAUAUUCAUUGUAGUUUUGGAUUACACAAAAUUUUUUUAGAUGCAACCAAAAAAACAGGAACGAUAAAAUAAAAAAAAUGAUAAAUUGGAUUUCAUGAAAAUGAAAAACUCUCACUCUUCAAAAGACACCAGUGGAAACGAAAAGAAAAGCAACACACUCUGAUAAAAUACCUGUAGACAUCUGAUAAAGAACUUGUUUCUAGAAUAUAUCAAGAACUCUUAUAAUUCAAUAAUGGUAAGACAAAUGACACAAUUUAAAACAAAAUUGGCUAAAGAUGUGAAGACAUACUUUGUCGAAGAAAAUAUAUCAGUGGCAAUGGUAUGUGAAAAGAUGUUCAAUAUCAUUAAUCAUUUAUAAAAUGCAAAUUAAAGCCACAAUGAGAUAGCACUACACAUCUACUAUAUGGCUAAAAUUUUUAAAAAUGAUUGAUAAAAUAAAGUGCUUAAGAGGAGGUAUGGAGCAAAUGACAUUCUCAUACAUUUCAGGUGGAAAUGCAAAAGGGUACAGCCACUUUGGAAAUGCCAUUUGACAAUACUUACAAGUCAUGUGCCAUGUAACAAUGUUUUGGUCAAUGACACUGUGUAUAUACAGCAGUGGUCCAAAAAGAUUAUUCCUGUAUUUUUGCUGUACCUUUUCUAUGUUUAGAUAUGUUUAGAUGCACAAAUACCUACCAUUGUGUUAUAAUUGCCUAUAGUAUUCAGUAUAGUAACAUGCUGUACAGAUUUAUAGCUUAGAAGCAAUAGGCUACAGCAUAUAGCUUAGGUGUGUAGUAGGCUAUAUACAUUUAGGUUUGUGUAAGUACAGUCUAUGAUGUUCACACAAUGAUGAAAUUACCUAACAAUGCAUUUCUCAGAAUGUAUCCCCAUCAUUAAGUGAUGGAUGACUAUAGUUUUGUUUUUAAUUAUAUCCAUGAAACCUAGCACAUUGCUUAUUAAGUGCUUAAUCAGUAUUUGUUGAAUUAAUAGACAUAUUUUAUAAUGUGUGUAUGUGUGUGUGGAUAUCAAAACAAUCCUUAAAGCUGCUGAAACUUAUUUUCUCUGUUGUGUAUAGAUUAACUUGCAGUUUUCUCAAUUAAAGAAAAGUCUCUAUCAGUG
Long non-coding RNA from Symphalangus syndactylus (siamang), 3082 nucleotides. RefSeq lists it as uncharacterized. The record is from RefSeq and is a predicted model, not a curated record. Lineage: Eukaryota; Metazoa; Chordata; Mammalia; Primates; Hylobatidae.